RNAcentral lists this ribosomal RNA (321 nucleotides) under Bacillus licheniformis. RNAcentral describes it as "bacterial SSU rRNA". It matches the Rfam family "Bacterial small subunit ribosomal RNA", at positions 1 to 311 of the family's 1533-position model. Lineage: Bacteria; Bacillati; Bacillota; Bacilli; Caryophanales; Bacillaceae. The record is from RNAcentral.
UUCAUGGAGAGUUUGAUCCUGGCUCAGGACGAACGCUGGCGGCGUGCCUAAUACAUGCAAGUCGAGCGGACCGACGGGAGCUUGCUCCCUUAGGUCAGCGGCGGACGGGUGAGUAACACGUGGGUAACCUGCCUGUAAGACUGGGAUAACUCCGGGAAACCGGGGCUAAUACCGGAUGCUUGAUUGAACCGCAUGGUUCAAUCAUAAAAGGUGGCUUUUAGCUACCACUUGCAGAUGGACCCGCGGCGCAUUAGCUAGUUGGUGAGGUAACGGCUCACCAAGGCAACGAUGCGUAGCCGACCUGAGAGGGUGAUCGGCCAC